CAAUAGAAUCAUUAAAAAGAUCCGACUGAAAAGAACGGUUCGUUCUGAUUAGGUUGGCAGCUCGUAGGUUUGAGACACUUCCAAGGUUACCAACACCGUUUAACAGUGCUAUAAAGACUUAUUAAAUCAGGAAGUGAAUGAGGAAAGCCCCUAGAAAGCAGCCACCUCCGUAUGCGAGGGUUAGGAAAUGCAAGGAGACUCCUCUAAGGUUGCUGGGAGUCAGACAGAAGGAUAUGAGAGAGCCUGAGCAGAGGAAAAAGGAGAGACGGGUUUCAUUAAAAAUAUAUGUGUUUUGAAGAUUAACCAAAGUCAUAUGGGUUUGGAACGACACAAGGGUGUCACGAAAGCCUCUGCCACUCCCAGUAAAAUGUACUGGGGCGUAAGCUGGAAACAGGUCAUAGAGGAAACCUGCAGGACCUUUCCCGAUAGUGUCUGCUCCACUUGUGGAUAAUCCUUCCUGUGGAUUUCUGAGAUCCCUGCCAGUAGUGCUGAGAGAGCUGCACAAGCAUGACCCAAAGCUGUAGGAAUAUAGCAAUAACGCAUGGAUUACUAUUGAAACGACUGGAUUUUGUCUGAGAAAAUUUGCCAAACAACGGGCUCCAGGAACCUGAUGUCAUUUGGAAGUACUUUGAUUUAAAGCCUCUGUUCGAGCCUGUGAAGGAGCGUUUUGUUCUUCUUCUGGUAUGUAGAGAGCUCCACGGUGCAGUGGACACAACUCCGGACCUGGGGAAAAUGAGUUUGGGAAAUGGGGCUCACACUUGUACACACCGGACUUGUUUUAUUCUGGUCCGCACAAUGACAGUUAAUCUUCAUAAAGUGUGAAUGGUAACCAUGGGUCUGCAAACUGACAAUGGCUCUCCGGGAUUUCCAAUGCUGAUGCUGCAUCAAUACUCAAAGCAUUGGUACUGGAUUAGCACCCAAGCAAUUUCCAAAUUAUUGUGGGAGACGGCAAUGGCGGUUUUAAGGAAAACGCGCGGUCUGUGGAGGCGGAAAGCUUAACGACUGCAUCCAAAACAUAUCAGGCAUUGUGGCCUUUGAAGAGUUUGGUACAACCCCCUAUGCAGAGCUUCCUAAUCAGCAACUUUCCCAGCAUUCAACCUCACUUUGGCUCAGUGACAAAACACUGUUGCCCUUCAUAUCGAACUUGCCAUUACGCAAGUUACUCCAUUAACAUUCGGACUGACUCUAGUUUUUGACAAUGUAGGUGCCAGGAGAGUAAAAGAGGCAGGUCAGUUUAGUGUAUCAUUGGUUGAUUUCGAUUUCUGAGUGAAAACUUUUUUCAAAGUAAAUCCUACACCAUUUUUUUUUUCAUUCAGUGUGGGUUUGGUGUGAAAUAAAUGCUUUAUAGAUAAGUCCUAUAUGCUUUAUAGAGAAGCUGUAGAGUUCUGAAUAUUAUAAAUAUAGCUAAUUUAUUAAUUUUAAUUUAUAAAAUUCUAAUAGAUCCCAAAAAAAGAUCUCAAACUUCUAAUCAAACAUAUUGUGAUGAACUCCACUAUCCAGGGCUGCAGUAUUGCACAGUAUUUUGUGUCAUUUUAUUGUUUCUUACAGUUUAAAAAUCAAAGUUAAAGAAGUAAUCCAUUAAAAUAUGAUGUUACUGUGGCCAAAGUUUGUUAAUUUACAACAAUCAUUUAGCAAAACUAAAAAAAAUCUGUUAAAUAUGGAAACCUAUUUCUGCCUCAGAGUAAAAAAAAAAAAAGGUAAUUGUGAGAUAUUGUAAAAUAUGAAAUAAAGUUUCUUUAAACUUUGAGAUGUAAAGUUACAAAUGUGAGAUAUAGUUGCAAUUGUGAUAAGUCCCAAAUUUGUGAUAUAAAGUAGUAAACGUGAGAUAUAAAGUUGCAAAUAUGAGAUAUAGUUGCAAUUGUGAUGAAGUCCCAAAUUUGAGAUAUAAAGUUGCAAAUGUGAGACAUAAAGUUGAAAAUAUGAGAUAUAUUUGCAGU
This is a long non-coding RNA of Megalobrama amblycephala (Wuchang bream), 1937 nucleotides long. RefSeq lists it as uncharacterized. The record is from RefSeq and is a predicted model, not a curated record. The transcript has 6 exons. NCBI's taxonomy places the organism in Eukaryota, Metazoa, Chordata, Actinopteri, Cypriniformes, Xenocyprididae.